CGAGCGAACGGACGAGAAGCUUGCUUCUCUGAUGUUAGCGGCGGACGGGUGAGUAACACGUGGAUAACCUACCUAUAAGACUGGGAUAACUUCGGGAAACCGGAGCUAAUACCGGAUAAUAUUUUGAACCGCAUGGUUCAAAAGUGAAAGACGGUCUUGCUGUCACUUAUAGAUGGAUCCGCGCUGCAUUAGCUAGUUGGUAAGGUAACAGCUUACCGAGGCAACGAUGCAUAGCCGACCUGAGAGGGUGAUCGGCCACACUGGAACUGAGACACGGUCCAGACUCCUACGGGAGGCAGCAGUAGGGAAUCUUCCGCAAUGGGCGAAAGCCUGACGGAGCAACGCCGCGUGAGUGAUGAAGGUCUUCGGAUCGUAAAACUCUGUUAUUAGGGAAGAACAUAUGUGUAAGUAACUGUGCACAUCUUGACGGUACCUAAUCAGAAAGCCACGGCUAACUACGUGCCAGCAGCCGCGGUAAUACGUAGGUGGCAAGCGUUAUCCGGAAUUAUUGGGCGUAAAGCGCGCGUAGGCGGUUUUUUAAGUCUGAUGUGAAAGCCCACGGCUCAACCGUGGAGGGUCAUUGGAAACUGGAAAACUUGAGUGCAGAAGAGGAAAGUGGAAUUCCAUGUGUAGCGGUGAAAUGCGCAGAGAUAUGGAG
RNAcentral lists this ribosomal RNA (658 nucleotides) under uncultured Staphylococcus sp. RNAcentral's name for it is "bacterial SSU rRNA". It matches the Rfam family "Bacterial small subunit ribosomal RNA", at positions 63 to 703 of the family's 1533-position model. The record is from RNAcentral. Lineage: Bacteria; Bacillati; Bacillota; Bacilli; Caryophanales; Staphylococcaceae.